UCUGGCCUGCUCACUGAAAUUUUUAAAGAGCCGCGGUAUUUUGACCGUGCAAAGGUAGCAUAAUCAUUAGUCUCCUAAUUAGGGGCUGGAAUGAAUGGCUUGACGAGAAAUUAACUGUCUCUUAAUAAAUUUUAAAAUUUAACUUUUGAGUUAAAAGGCUUAAAUUUUUCUUUAGGACGAGAAGACCCUAUAGAGCUUAACAUCUAAAUUAGAUAUUUUUUUAAGAUGGUUUAUUUAUGUUUAAUGGUAAUGUUUUGUUGGGGUGACAUGAAGAAUUAAUAAACUCUUUAUUAUAAAAUCAUUAAUUUAUGUUUAUUUUGAUCCAUAAUUUAUGAUCAUAAGAUUAAGUUAUUUUAGGGAUAAC
This 364-nucleotide ribosomal RNA is filed under the name Euthystira brachyptera. Its description in RNAcentral is "partial 16S ribosomal RNA". The stretch from base 1 to 163 matches the Rfam family "Archaeal large subunit ribosomal RNA", at positions 1945 to 2143 of the family's 2987-position model. The record is from RNAcentral. Lineage: Eukaryota; Metazoa; Arthropoda; Insecta; Orthoptera; Acrididae.